Protobothrops mucrosquamatus (brown spotted pit viper) is the source of this 678-nucleotide long non-coding RNA. RefSeq lists it as uncharacterized. Lineage: Eukaryota; Metazoa; Chordata; Lepidosauria; Squamata; Viperidae. The record is from RefSeq and is a predicted model, not a curated record. The transcript is spliced from 2 exons.
ACUUCCCCCAGACCCAGCCCGGCAUAUUGAACACUUGAAUUCCCAUGAUGCUGUGCUGGCCAGGAAUUAUAGUUGCUUGAACUCUAACUCAUCCGGAGAGACAGGAGGGAUCGGAUAGCAGGUCUGUCACAUAAUUUUAAAAGAGAGGGAAAAGUCCCGGGGAUCCGAAGCUAGUUGUCAGAGCUAAGCUGAUAAAUCUCUCACCAGUGCAAUUUUACCUGGGUUCACUUAGAAUUCAGCAAAGGGAUUUACCCUCAGGAACUAUGAAAUUCAGAAGCCACAUCGCAUGGGAGAAUGAUUCCUGGGUUGGAAGAGCAAAGAAAAGAGAUGGUCUUCAUUUUUCCCUUCCAGGAAUAAUGGCCAGUUUUCUUAAAGGCAUUUGGCUGCUUUUGGUCUUGUCCCAAUUCAGCAAAAGUCAUUUUAUAUCUUGCUGGCUGUAUAAUACUGAUAAAAGAUAUUAUCAACAUGCUCAAAGACAUAGUAGGCAAAGAAUCAUGAAUCAGCAUCUUUUUUGACUAUUGAAUUUUAUUAAAGCUCUCAUAAACUUUUAUCUUUCAAUCAAAUGAAUCAGUUACAUAGAAAAAGUGCUAGCAGAUUUUUGUGGAAUAUGUUCAAAGUAUUUGCGUGUUCUGUGUCCCUCUAUUCAAAUGAUGUAGGUAAUGAAGCCUUGCAGAAAUG